This 412-nucleotide long non-coding RNA is filed under the name Eutrema salsugineum. Its description in RNAcentral is "long non-coding RNA (ESAL_LNC001814)". The record is from RNAcentral. Lineage: Eukaryota; Viridiplantae; Streptophyta; Magnoliopsida; Brassicales; Brassicaceae.
UCACUUAUUCCUUCUACUUUGGACACAACAGCUUUGAACCUUGUCAUGUAAUCUCGAAGCGGUUCGUUAGGUCCUUGAGAUAACGUCCAUAGAUCGGCGUCGGAGGUGCCUCGAUCCAUGAACAUCGAGUACUGCUUCAAGAACAAGGCGGAGAGCUGCUGGAAGCUGUUGAUCGAAUUACGUUCUUGCCUUGAGAACCAUUCUAGUGCGGCCCCUUUGAGAUGCUCUACAAACAGUAGACAAUAAGCGGCGUCUUUUUCUUGCUUAGUCAGGUUGGCAGAGUUCCUCGUGAAGGCUCGUCCCAUUGCUAUGCGGAACGCCAUGAUAUGAGCUUUUGGGUCAGUGGUUCCUUCAUAGAAAGGGAUCCUGACUUUUCCGGGCUCGGGGAUCCUAGCCUCUGUGAUCCUCGUCG